GAUCUCCCCCGAGCAGCUGCUGCCCGGCGCCUGGCUGGGCUUCUGAUGGCCCUCCUGGGUGGCCCUAGAUAAUCCUAGACAACUCCUAGACAGUCCUAGCUGGCCCUAAAUGAUCCUAGACAAGCCCUAGGUGCUCCUUGACAAGCUCCAGGUGGUCCUGGUGGUCUUAGACAAGCUCUAGGUAGUCCUGAACAGUCCUAGGUAGUCCUAAACAAGCUCCAGGUGGUCCUAGGUGGCCCUAGACA
This is a long non-coding RNA of Pezoporus flaviventris, 245 nucleotides long. RefSeq lists it as uncharacterized. The transcript is spliced from 3 exons. The record is from RefSeq and is a predicted model, not a curated record. Lineage: Eukaryota; Metazoa; Chordata; Aves; Psittaciformes; Psittacidae.